AUACGUAGGUGACAAGCGUUAUCCGGAUUUACUGGGUGUAAAGGGCGUGUAGGCGGUUUAGCAAGUCAGAAGUGAAAUUCCCGGGCUUAACUUGGGCGCUGCUUCUGAAACUGCUUUACUUGAGUGCUGGAGAGGAUAGGGGAAUUCCUAGUGUAGCGGUAAAAUGCGCAGAUAUUAGGAGGAACACCGGUGGCGAAGGCGGCUAUCUGGACAGUAACUGACGCUGAGGCGCGAAAGCACGGGGAGCAAACAGGAUUAGAUACCCUGGUAGUCCGUGCCGUAAACGAUGAAUACUAGGUGUAGGGGGUAUCGACUCCCUCUGUGCCGCAGUUAACACGUUAAGUAUUCCACCUGGGGAGUACGGCCGCAAGGUUGAAACUCAAAGGAAUUGACGGGG
This 397-nucleotide ribosomal RNA is filed under the name uncultured bacterium. RNAcentral describes it as "partial 16S ribosomal RNA". It matches the Rfam family "Bacterial small subunit ribosomal RNA", at positions 523 to 918 of the family's 1533-position model. The record is from RNAcentral.